UGGAAGUAAGUUGGCAGACAAUCUUCCUCUGCUGGAACAGCUUCUCUUCCUGAGGGAGUGUGACCUGGAAGUGGAAGUCAGAGAAAUUCUUUCCUAAGUUGCUUUUGGCCGCGUUUAUCCAAGUCACAGAAAUCGAACUCGAACAAUAGAUCUGAUGUUUCCAGAAGGUUCUUAAGAAGAGUUGCCUGAAAAAUUGGGAGAAGGAAGCACGCCAAGCAGGAAGGCCUAGCAGAGGAACACUGUCCUGUAGAUGCUGAAGCUGACGAGGCUGCCCAGGUUCAGGAUGGGAUUCACCUGCUCAUCUGAAUCUUCUUUGAGCCACCCGCCUUCUCAUAUCCCUCAAAAAGCAGCUGCCUGAGGUCUCCAGGAUGACAGCAAACCAGAUGGUACUCCAGCCACACCUCUCGCUGAGUGUGAGCUCACCAACUCCCAGCUCUCCCCUCUCCCACAUGGCCCCAUGCCCACAGGAAGUAGCCAGACUGGGGCUGAUGCCCCUAUAUCCAAGGACUCUGGGAUGUUUGAUUGAAAGUGAGACCUCCAGCUCUCUGACAUCUCUAUAUCCAAGAAGUCUGGGAUGAUUGGAAGCAUCACCGAGCCCCUGGCCUGAGAGUUGCCUUGGUCCAGACUUCAACUUCCAGCCUGCCAAGUGCUGACCCUUCUCAGGGAGGGUCAGAACCACUC
Molecule: long non-coding RNA, 681 nt
Organism: Microtus oregoni (creeping vole)
Lineage: Eukaryota; Metazoa; Chordata; Mammalia; Rodentia; Cricetidae
Exons: 4
Source: RefSeq, a predicted model, not a curated record